Molecule: ribosomal RNA, 763 nt
Filed under: Lactobacillus casei group sp.
Lineage: Bacteria; Bacillati; Bacillota; Bacilli; Lactobacillales; Lactobacillaceae
Description: bacterial SSU rRNA
Rfam family: Bacterial small subunit ribosomal RNA
Source: RNAcentral
UGCAGUCGACGAGUUCUCGUUGAUGAUCGGUGCUUGCACCGAGAUUCAACAUGGAACGAGUGGCGGACGGGUGAGUAACACGUGGGUAACCUGCCCUUAAGUGGGGGAUAACAUUUGGAAACAGAUGCUAAUACCGCAUAGAUCCAAGAACCGCAUGGUUCUUGGCUGAAAGAUGGCGUAAGCUAUCGCUUUUGGAUGGACCCGCGGCGUAUUAGCUAGUUGGUGAGGUAAUGGCUCACCAAGGCGAUGAUACGUAGCCGAACUGAGAGGUUGAUCGGCCACAUUGGGACUGAGACACGGCCCAAACUCCUACGGGAGGCAGCAGUAGGGAAUCUUCCACAAUGGACGCAAGUCUGAUGGAGCAACGCCGCGUGAGUGAAGAAGGCUUUCGGGUCGUAAAACUCUGUUGUUGGAGAAGAAUGGUCGGCAGAGUAACUGUUGUCGGCGUGACGGUAUCCAACCAGAAAGCCACGGCUAACUACGUGCCAGCAGCCGCGGUAAUACGUAGGUGGCAAGCGUUAUCCGGAUUUAUUGGGCGUAAAGCGAGCGCAGGCGGUUUUUUAAGUCUGAUGUGAAAGCCCUCGGCUUAACCGAGGAAGCGCAUCGGAAACUGGGAAACUUGAGUGCAGAAGAGGACAGUGGAACUCCAUGUGUAGCGGUGAAAUGCGUAGAUAUAUGGAAGAACACCAGUGGCGAAGGCGGCUGUCUGGUCUGUAACUGACGCUGAGGCUCGAAAGCAUGGGUAGCGAACAGGAUUAGAUAC